UUUGGAAUUAUGGACAAUGGGCGAAAGCCUGAUCCUGCGACGCCGCGUGGACGAUGAAGGUCUUCGGAUCGUAAAGUCCUUUUGCUCGGGAACAAUAUUUUGAGCGUACCGAGAGAAUAAGAGGUUGCUAACUCUGUGCCAGCAGCAGCGGUAAUACAGAGACCUCAAGCGUUAUCCGGAAUCAUUGGGCGUAAAGCGUACCGAUAGGUGGUUUUACAAGUCAGAAGUGAAAUCUUCAAGCUUAACUUGGAGACUGUCUUUUGAAACUGUAAAACUAGAGGGGCAAAGAGGAAGCUGGAACGAACGGUGUAGUAGUGAAAUGCGUUGAUAUCGUUCGGAACACCAAUAGCGUAGGCAGGCUUCUGGGUGCCACCUGACACUGCUAGGACGAAAGCGUGGGGAGCGAAUGGG
Molecule: ribosomal RNA, 411 nt
Filed under: uncultured bacterium
Lineage: Bacteria
Description: bacterial SSU rRNA
Rfam family: Bacterial small subunit ribosomal RNA
Source: RNAcentral